Long non-coding RNA from Brachypodium distachyon (stiff brome), 1311 nucleotides. RefSeq lists it as uncharacterized. The transcript has 2 exons. Lineage: Eukaryota; Viridiplantae; Streptophyta; Magnoliopsida; Poales; Poaceae. The record is from RefSeq and is a predicted model, not a curated record.
CCCAUCGUCUCUCUGCCUUCUUCACGAGCCAAUUCUGCAGUUUCUCCCCUCUUCAAUUAACUUCAACAUUUAUUCCCGUCCUGGCGGUCCUGCUAAUCUUCCUCCUGCGCCCUUCCAUCUCCCUCUGCAGCUUCUAGCCUCCCUGCUGUCCCUUCUUGCUCAAGCCCUUCAUCCAUCCACUCAUAUUCCACUUCAAUUCGAGCUCCGUGCUCUGCUGCAGCUGGGAUGGGGGGCCGAUCUCUUCCUCGGUCUAAUGGAGGAUCCUUGCAAGCUCCGAAGGAACAACUCCCUGCCUGCAGCACAUGGGAUCGAUCUGACGACUCUUCGUUUUGCUGAUGCUGAUGAGUACCGAUCUAGAGGCUGUCAGAUUGAACGUUUGUUCAUGGUCAUGGCUCACACCUGAUGGAGAUGUGUUGCCUUUCGGCGGAUUUUUUGCUGUUAUAGUCUCUGCUUGGAACUGGGGAGGCUUUAUCCUCCCUGUUGAUCUAAAAAAUUAUCCCACUUCAACGGUAUGGAUCUCGGCCUCUUGCAAAGUUGAUCUAAGUAAUUGGAAUUUUUCACAUGCGGCAUGGGAUCGGAUCGCUCAUAAUUUAUGGAAUGAUUUACUUCCUCGAUCAAGAUCUCUCAUAUAAGUGUAAUUUCUCAUGCGGCUUGGGUCAGGUAUGUAUUUACAUUAGUUCCCUAAAAUUGUUGAGUUUGGUUUUAAAGUUGAAAGCUCAUAAUUUAUGGAUCGAAUCAAUUUCUUUCUUGAUCAAGAUAUCCCUCAGAUAAAUUGAAAUUUCUGUUGCGACUUGGGUCAGGUAUGUACUUACGUUAGUUCCUUAAAACUGUACAAUUUGGUAGGUCACUAGGCCUAGAAUUCUCUUUGAUAGUUUCAGCAGCCGACUGAUUGCUAAUUGUUAAAGUUGGAAACUCUUCUUUCAACAGUUUGUUCCAUGUCUACAGCAUGUAUGUCAGCCCUUGCGGGAAUUUUUUCUUCAGCAAAAUUCUUUGUUGAGAUUGUCAUUUUGCGGAUUGAUAAAACUUUGCCAAAUCAUUCGGUUGAGAGAGUGCAAGCACUUCUCCCUAAUAUCUAUAAUUAUUUCGUGUGCGCAAUUUGUAUUAUGAUAUAAAUGGAUUUCAGGCCUUUAUCUCUCCAAUAAGUUGGUGCACAUAGACAUUAAUCCCAUGGAAUUGUAUGAUUUUAUUUAGUAAGUUUUUUUUAUUUUAGACAAUAGGCUUUACCCUCUGUUCCAUUUCAUCCAAAAAGAAACAACAUCGUUAGCAUUUAGUGAGUUUGCUGUUGAAAUAUUAGUGUAUGAUUUUUACGUC